RNAcentral lists this signal recognition particle RNA (313 nucleotides) under Halalkaliarchaeum sp. AArc-GB. RNAcentral's name for it is "signal recognition particle sRNA". It matches the Rfam family "Archaeal signal recognition particle RNA". Lineage: Archaea; Methanobacteriati; Methanobacteriota; Halobacteria; Halobacteriales; Haloferacaceae. The record is from RNAcentral.
GUAUGGACUAGGCUGGGCGGUUAGGCCCCGCUCGAAACCCGUGAGAGAGUCUUUAGCGGGGGCCGAAAUCCGGGGGCGUCCGGUCAGACCGACGCGGGCCCCGGAAGUCGACGUGGAAGCCUCGUCCGACGGGGACAGCGGUCCGCGGUGCCCGCCCGCAGGGGCGGUCCGCCGCGGUUGGUCGGCGGCAGCGGGUCAGGCGCGGAAGCGAGCAGCCCACCGUCGAACGCCCGUCGCUCGUCGGGUCGCGGGGUGGAGGAGACGACCGGGACUACCCGGGUCGGAACGCCGGGCAAUCUCGGGGCGUCCGCAU